UGUGGUGAUAUUCAAAAUAUACAUUUUAUUUUUGGCAAUCAUUUUUCUUUAUAAAUUCAAAAGUCAUUUUUCUUUCUAAAAACACAAUAAUAUAUAUAUAUAUAUAUAUAUAACCAACCUUUUAAUUUUUAAAAAGAAAAAUGAAUUUAUAAGAAAAAUGAUUGCCAAAAAGAAAAUGUAUAUUUUGUUAUAUUACCAAAA
Molecule: microRNA precursor, 201 nt
Filed under: Arabidopsis lyrata subsp. lyrata
Lineage: Eukaryota; Viridiplantae; Streptophyta; Magnoliopsida; Brassicales; Brassicaceae
Description: MIR4208 microRNA precursor family
Rfam family: MIR4208 microRNA precursor family
Source: Rfam by way of RNAcentral